CACCGCGGUUAUACGAGAGGCCCAAGUUGACAGACACCGGCGUAAAGCGUGGUUAAGGAAAACUUAGACUAAAGCCGAACACCUUCAAGGCAGUUAUACGCAUCCGAAGAUACGAAGCCCCACCACGAAAGUGGCUUUAUAACCCCUGACCCCACGAAAGCUAUGAUACAAACUGGGAUUAGAUACCCCACUAUGCCUAGCCGUAAACAUUGAUAGAAUUAUACACCUUCUAUCCGCCCGGGUACUACGAGCAUCAGCUUAAAACCCAAAGGACUUGGCGGUACUUUAGAUCCCCCUAGAGGAGCCUGUUCUAUAACCGAUGACCCCCGUUCAACCUCACCCUCCCUUGUCUCUCCCGCCUAUAUACCGCCGUCGUCAGCUUACCCUGUGAGGGUUUAAUAGUAAGCAAAAUUGGUACCACCCAGAACGUCAGGUCGAGGUGUAGCGUAUGAGAGGGGAAGAAAUGGGCUACAUUCGCUAAAGUAGCGAAUACGAACGAUGCACUGAAAACGUUCAUCCGAAGGAGGAUUUAGCAGUAAGUGGAAAAUAGAGCGUUCCACUGAAAUCGGCUCUGAAGUGCGU
RNAcentral lists this ribosomal RNA (582 nucleotides) under Tetragonurus cuvieri. RNAcentral's name for it is "partial small subunit ribosomal RNA". It matches the Rfam family "Bacterial small subunit ribosomal RNA", at positions 513 to 1384 of the family's 1533-position model. Lineage: Eukaryota; Metazoa; Chordata; Actinopteri; Scombriformes; Tetragonuridae. The record is from RNAcentral.